UCCUCCUGGGGCCUACCAGUGUGGAAACCCCUUCCACUAUCAGUGGGGGAGUACGUCCACAAGGAAGGACAAAAACGCCAGGAAGUCGCUGUUGGAUGUCCUCUCCAGCAUCAGCGGACGGAACAUCAAGUCUAUCUGCAGUGAUACUGUAGUGCGAAGUGCGUUGGAUGCUCUCAGUCAAGCCGUCACUCGUCCUAUGCAGCUGAACAGUUCUGAAUUUUUCUGCACCAUGCCCAUGAAUGCAUGGCGCAAUAUGGUGGCCUUGAAGGCAUUACACGGAAGUUCCUCACAAGGAAUAUGACAGUUCAUAAUGACACCACAUGGGAAAUUGUGUGCUUGUAAUUCUUCAAUCUUGAUAUCACUGAUGCCAUGCGGCCAGAACUUCUGGUAUAUUCAUUCAUGAAUUAUAGCAUUAUGCUUCUUGUCCGAGUGCUGCUGCUGCUGCGCUCCAUCUCUUUCUCUGUCUUGCCACUUCUUGUUUCCUGCAUUAGUAGGCGCGACUAUUACUGCUGCUGCUGCUGUUGCUGCUGCUGCUGCUGCCGUUGCUGUACGUAGAGUUGUAUCACGUGUUGCUGCUCCAGCUGGUGCUGUUGCUGUACAUGCAAUGGUAUCAGCUGUUGUUGUUCUUGCUGCUGCUGCUGCUCUUGUUCAGGUGGUUGCCCCUUCUCUUUCAAGGUUCUACCGAGAUAACACUGGUCACACAAUGUUUGUUCGUCUUCGUCCAUUGAUUGGCACAUGUGGUGGUAUGGUCGUGCACAUCCACGACAUGUCCUGAGAAGGGGAGGUGGGCCGCCUUUGCAGGCAAUACACACAUUUGUUUGGGUUGGCGCUCCUGCCGCAAGUGGUGGUUGCUGCUGCUGCUGCAGCAGUGGCAUUUCAAUAGCCUCCUGUUGUUGUGGUGGUUGUGUUUGUUGUUGUGGUUGUGGUGGUUGUGUUUGUUGUGGUGGUUGUGUUUGUUGUUGUGGUUGUGUUUGUUGUGGUGGUUGUGUUUGUUGUUGUUGUGGCGGUGGUGGUUGUUGGUGUUGCAGCUGCUGCACUGGUGCCGUGCCAGUGACUGUUGCUGCUGUCGGUUGCUGAAGUGAACCACUCCUUGCAGAA
This is a long non-coding RNA of Sycon ciliatum, 1098 nucleotides long. RefSeq lists it as uncharacterized. The transcript has 2 exons. The record is from RefSeq and is a predicted model, not a curated record. NCBI's taxonomy places the organism in Eukaryota, Metazoa, Porifera, Calcarea, Leucosolenida, Sycettidae.